Molecule: ribosomal RNA, 283 nt
Filed under: uncultured Desulfobulbus sp.
Lineage: Bacteria; Pseudomonadati; Thermodesulfobacteriota; Desulfobulbia; Desulfobulbales; Desulfobulbaceae
Description: partial 16S ribosomal RNA
Rfam family: Bacterial small subunit ribosomal RNA
Source: RNAcentral
ACCUACCGACCUUUAGUUGCCAGCAGUUCGGCUGGGCACUCUAAAGGGACUGCCGGUGUUAAACCGGAGGAAGGUGGGGAUGACGUCAAGUCCUCAUGGCCUUUAUGACCAGGGCUACACACGUACUACAAUGGCCGAUACAAAGGGCAGCGACACUGCGAGGUGAAGCCAAUCCCGUAAAAUCGGUCUCAGUCCGGAUUGGAGUCUGCAACUCGACUCCAUGAAGUUGGAAUCGCUAGUAAUCGUGGAUCAGCAUGCCACGGUGAAUACGUUCCCGGGCCUU